This 262-nucleotide ribosomal RNA is filed under the name uncultured bacterium. RNAcentral's name for it is "partial 16S ribosomal RNA". It matches the Rfam family "Bacterial small subunit ribosomal RNA", at positions 514 to 775 of the family's 1533-position model. The record is from RNAcentral.
GCCGCGGUAAUACGGAGGGGGCUAGCGUUGUUCGGAAUUACUGGGCGUAAAGCGCGCGUAGGCGGCUUUGUAAGUUAGAGGUGAAAGCCCGAAGCUCAACUUCGGAAUUGCCUUUAAGACUGCAUCGCUAGAAUCGUGGAGAGGUGAGUGGAAUUCCGAGUGUAGAGGUGAAAUUCGUAGAUAUUCGGAAGAACACCAGUGGCGAAGGCGACUCACUGGACACGUAUUGACGCUGAGGUGCGAAAGCUGGGGGAGCAAACGG